This 427-nucleotide ribosomal RNA is filed under the name uncultured bacterium. Its description in RNAcentral is "partial 16S ribosomal RNA". It matches the Rfam family "Bacterial small subunit ribosomal RNA", at positions 355 to 774 of the family's 1533-position model. The record is from RNAcentral.
UGGGGAAUAUUGCACAAUGGGCGCAAGCCUGAUGCAGCCAUGCCGAGUGUAUGAAGAAGGCCUUCGGGUUGUAAAGUACUUUCAGCGGGGAGGAAGGUGUUGAGGUUAAUAACCUCAGCAAUUGACGUUACCCGCAGAAGAAGCACCGGCUAACUCCGUGCCAGCAGCCGCGGUAAUACGGAGGGUGCAAGCGUUAAUCGGAAUUACUGGGCGUAAAGCGCACGCAGGCGGUCUGUCAAGUCGGAUGUGAAAUCCCCGGGCUCAACCUGGGAACUGCAUUCGAAACUGGCAGGCUAGAGUCUUGUAGAGGGGGGUAGAAUUCCAGGUGUAGCGGUGAAAUGCGUAGAGAUCUGGAGGAAUACCGGUGGCGAAGGCGGCCCCCUGGACAAAGACUGACGCUCAGGUGCGAAAGCGUGGGGAGCAAACA